UGGGGAAUCUUGCGCAAUGGGCGAAAGCCUGACGCAGCGACGCCGCGUGAGGGAAGAAGGCCUUCGGGUUGUAAACCUCUUUCAGGAGGGACGAAGCCACUCGGGUGAAUAGCCCAGAGGGUGACGGUACUUCCAGAAGAAGCCCCGGCUAACUACGUGCCAGCAGCCGCGGUAAUACGUAGGGGGCAAGCGUUGUCCGGAUUUAUUGGGCGUAAAGAGCGUGUAGGCGGCCGAGCAGGUCCGUUGUGAAAACUGGAGGCUCAACCUUCAGACGUCGAUGGAAACCGCUCGGCUAGAGUCCGGAAGAGGAGAGUGGAAUUCCUGGUGUAGCGGUGAAAUGCGCAGAUAUCAGGAAGAACACCCGUGGCGAAAGGCGGCUCUCUGGGACGGUACUGACGCUGAGACGCGAAAGCGUGGGGAGCGAACAGGAUUAGAUACCCUGGUAGUCCACGCCGUAAACGAUGGGUGCUAGGUGUGGGGGUGUCGACUCCCUCCGUGCCGAAGCUAACGC
This 511-nucleotide ribosomal RNA is filed under the name uncultured Actinomycetes bacterium. RNAcentral's name for it is "bacterial SSU rRNA". It matches the Rfam family "Bacterial small subunit ribosomal RNA", at positions 355 to 858 of the family's 1533-position model. Lineage: Bacteria; Bacillati; Actinomycetota; Actinomycetes. The record is from RNAcentral.